Molecule: ribosomal RNA, 253 nt
Filed under: uncultured Eubacteriales bacterium
Lineage: Bacteria; Bacillati; Bacillota; Clostridia; Eubacteriales
Description: partial 16S ribosomal RNA
Rfam family: Bacterial small subunit ribosomal RNA
Source: RNAcentral
UACGUAGGGAGCAAGCGUUGUCCGGAAUUACUGGGUGUAAAGGGUGCGUAGGCGGGUAUGCAAGUCAUAUGUGAAAUACCGGGGCUCAACUCCGGGGCUGCAUAAGAAACUGUAUAUCUUGAGUACAGGAGAGGUAAGCGGAAUUCCUAGUGUAGCGGUGAAAUGCGUAGAUAUUAGGAGGAACACCAGUGGCGAAGGCGGCUUACUGGACUGAAACUGACGCUGAGGCACGAAAGCGUGGGGAGCAAACAGG